Macaca fascicularis (crab-eating macaque) is the source of this 148-nucleotide unclassified non-coding RNA. It matches the Rfam family "Metazoan signal recognition particle RNA". Rfam says of the family: The signal recognition particle (SRP) is a universally conserved ribonucleoprotein. It is involved in the co-translational targeting of proteins to membranes. The record is from Ensembl. Lineage: Eukaryota; Metazoa; Chordata; Mammalia; Primates; Cercopithecidae.
GCUGGGCAUGGUGGCGCGUGCCUGUAAUCCCAGCUACUCGGGAGGCUGAGACAGGAGAAUCACUUGAACCCAGGAGGCAGAGGUUGCAGUGAGCUGAGAUCGUGCCACUGCACUCCAGCCUGGGUGACAGAGUGAGACUCCAUCUCAA